This 385-nucleotide ribosomal RNA is filed under the name Chlamydomonas sp. MACC 782. RNAcentral's name for it is "SSU rRNA". It matches the Rfam family "Eukaryotic small subunit ribosomal RNA", at positions 612 to 1014 of the family's 1831-position model. Lineage: Eukaryota; Viridiplantae; Chlorophyta; Chlorophyceae; Chlamydomonadales; Chlamydomonadaceae. The record is from RNAcentral.
AUGCUUGCUGCAGUUAAGCUCGUAGUCGACUUCGGGCUUGCCCCGGCGGUCCGCCUCUGGUGUGCACUGURGGGKUKGCCUUUCUGUCGGGGACGGGCUCCUGGGCUUAACUGUCUGGGACCCGGGCUCGGCGAGGUUACUUUGAGUAAAUUAGAGUGUUCAAAGCAGGCGAUCGCCCUGAAUACAUUAGCAUGGAAUAGCACGAUAGGACUCUGGCCUAUCUUGCUGGUCUGUAGGACCGGAGUAAUGAUUAAGAGGGACAGUCGGGGGCAUUCGUAUUUCUGGGUCAGAGGUGAAAUUCUUGGAUUCCAGAAAGACGGACCACUGCGAAAGCAUUUGCCAAGGAUGUUUUCAUUGAUCAAGAACGAAAGUUGGGGGCUCGAAG